AGAGUUUGAUCCUGGCUCAAGAUGAACGCUGGCGGCAUGCCUAAUACAUGCAAGUCGAACGAGGGUCCUUCGGGACUCGAGUGGCGAACGGGUGAGUAACACGUAGGGAACCUGCCCGUGCGACCGGGAGAACUUUCGGAAACGGAAGCUGAUACCGGAUAGGGACAGAGACGGCAUCGACUCUGUGUUAAAGGAGCUGAAAGGCUCCGCGCACGGAUGGACCUGCGGUGCAUUAGCUGGUUGGUGAGGUAACGGCCCACCAAGGCGACGAUGCAUAGCCGGCCAGAGAGGGCGGACGGCCACACUGGGACUGAGACACGGCCCAGACUCCUACGGGAGGCAGCAGUAGGGAAUUUUCGUCAAUGGGCGCAAGCCUGAACGAGCAAUGCCGCGUGAACGAGGAAGGUCUUCGGAUCGUAAAGUUCUGUUGAAGGGGAAAAAGAGCGGAGAGAGGAAAUGGUCUCCGAUUGAUAUUACCCUUCGAGGAAGUCACGGCUAACUACGUGCCAGCAGCCGCGGUAAUACGUAGGUGGCGAGCGUUAUCCGGAAUGAUUGGGCGUAAAGGGUGCGUAGGCGGCCUGCUAAGUCUGGAGUGAAAGGUACCGGCUCAACCGGUACAGGCUCUGGAAACUGGCGGGCUAGAGAGCAGGAGAGGGCGGUGGAACUCCAUGUGUAGCGGUAAAAUGCGUAGAUAUAUGGAAGAACACCAGUGGCGAAGGCGGCCGCCUGGCCUGUUACUGACGCUGAGGCACGAAAGCGUGGGGAGCAAAUAGGAUUAGAUACCCUAGUAGUCCACGCCGUAAACGAUGAGGACCAAGUGUUGGGGAAGACCCAGUGCUGCAGUUAACGCAGUGAGUCCUCCGCCUGGGGAGUAUGCACGCAAGUGUGAAACUCAAAGGAAUUGACGGGGGCCCGCACAAGCGGUGGAGUAUGUGGUUUAAUUCGAAGCAACGCGAAGAACCUUACCAGGCCUUGACAUAGGGUGCGAAGCUAUGGAGACAUAGUGGAGGUAAACAUCCAUACAGGUGGUGCAUGGUUGUCGUCAGCUCGUGUCGUGAGAUGUUCAGUUAAGUCUGGCAACGAGCGCAACCCUCGUGAUGUGUUACCAAUAUCGAGUUAGGGACUCACAUCAGACUGCCGGUGAGAAACCGGAGGAAGGCGGGGAUGACGUCAAAUCAUCAUGCCCCUUAUGGCCUGGGCUACACACGUACUACAAUGGCGGCGACAGAGGGCAGCGAGCCUGCGAAGGCAAGCGAAUCCCCAAAAAGCCGUCCCAGUUCGGAUUGGAGUCUGCAACCCGACUCCAUGAAGUUGGAAUCGCUAGUAAUCGCGGAUCAGCAUGCCGCGGUGAAUACGUUCUCGGGCCUUGCACUCACCGCCCGUCAA
Molecule: ribosomal RNA, 1386 nt
Filed under: uncultured bacterium
Lineage: Bacteria
Description: bacterial SSU rRNA
Rfam family: Bacterial small subunit ribosomal RNA
Source: RNAcentral